AGUGAACGCUGGCGGUAGGCCUAACACAUGCAAGUCGAACGGCAGCACAGUAAGAGCUUGCUCUUACGGGUGGCGAGUGGCGGACGGGUGAGGAAUACAUCGGAAUCUACUUUUUCGUGGGGGAUAACGUAGGGAAACUUACGCUAAUACCGCAUACGACCUACGGGUGAAAGCAGGGGAUCUUCGGACCUUGCGCGAUUGAAUGAGCCGAUGUCGGAUUAGCUAGUUGGCGGGGGAAAGGCCCACCAAGGCGACGAUCCGUAGCUGGUCUGAGAGGAUGAACAGACACACUGGAACUGAGACACGGUCCAGACUCCUACGGGGGGCAGCAGUGGAGAAUAGUGGACAAUGGGCGCAAGCCUGAUCCAGCCAUACCGCGUGGGUGAAGAAGGCCUUCGGGUUGUAAAGCCCUUUUGUUGGGAAAGAAAAGCAGCAGGUUAAUACCCCGCUGUUCUGACGGUACCCAAAGAAUAAGCACCGGCUAACUUCG
RNAcentral lists this ribosomal RNA (490 nucleotides) under uncultured bacterium. RNAcentral describes it as "partial 16S ribosomal RNA". It matches the Rfam family "Bacterial small subunit ribosomal RNA", at positions 29 to 505 of the family's 1533-position model. The record is from RNAcentral.